ACUGCAGGCUGCGCUAUCGUGGUCCCGGUCCGCCCGGGGCUAAGGAAAGUCCGGACAGCACAGAGCAGCGCACCACCUAACGGGUGGGUCUUCCGUUGCAGACGGAAGAACAGAAAGUGCCACAGAAAAUAACCGCUUCGCCGGCCAUCAAUGGGCUGGCGGAGCAAGGGUGAAAACGGGAGGUAAGAGCUCCCGGGGUCGGUCUGCAAAGAUUGACCCGGGCAAACCUUGCGCGCUGAAAUGCCAAAUAGUCCCUGCUAUCUGUUCCACUGGAACAGUCAUGGGCUGCUCGUUCAUGGUCACCUCUGGUGGCGGCAGGGCGGGUGGGCAGAUAGAUCCUGGCAGCGAUGCCAGGACCAGAUAAAUGAUAGCGGUCCGCCGAAAGGCGGAUACAGAAUCCGGCUUACAGGCCUGCAGUUGCU
RNAcentral lists this RNase P RNA (422 nucleotides) under Thermoflavifilum sp. Its description in RNAcentral is "RNase P RNA component class A". It matches the Rfam family "Bacterial RNase P class A". Rfam says of the family: Ribonuclease P (RNase P) is a ubiquitous endoribonuclease, found in archaea, bacteria and eukarya as well as chloroplasts and mitochondria. Its best characterised activity is the generation of mature 5'-ends of tRNAs by cleaving the 5'-leader elements of precursor-tRNAs. Lineage: Bacteria; Pseudomonadati; Bacteroidota; Chitinophagia; Chitinophagales; Chitinophagaceae. The record is from RNAcentral.